UACGUAGGGCGCAAGCGUUGUCCGGAAUUAUUGGGCGUAAAGAGCUCGUAGGCGGCCUGUUGCGUCCGCUGUGAAAACCCGGGGCUUAACCCCGGGCUUGCAGUGGAUACGGGCAGGCUGGAGGCAGGCAGGGGAGAACGGAAUUCCCGGUGUAGCGGUGAAAUGCGUAGAGAUCGUAAGGAAGACCAGUGGCGAAGGCGGGUCUCUGGACAGUUCCUGACACUGAGGCACGAAGGCCAGGGGAGCAAACGGG
RNAcentral lists this ribosomal RNA (253 nucleotides) under uncultured bacterium. RNAcentral describes it as "partial 16S ribosomal RNA". It matches the Rfam family "Bacterial small subunit ribosomal RNA", at positions 524 to 776 of the family's 1533-position model. The record is from RNAcentral.